AGAUUUACUUGUACAAGCUUAAUAAUAUUCAUUGCCUCCAAGUAUCCCUCUCUACGCCACCAAACUGCUCGGCCCAGCCCCUAAUUUAGUUGUAGGGGUAUGACCACUUCCGGAUGUUCUGCACAUAAUACCUGCCGUUCGUAAGCCUAACUUCUUCCCAGCCAUUCUUUUUUGUUCUAAGGUCUGGAAUCUUUUAGGUGCUCACUAUCUUUAAGCUAUCACCAUUUUUUGUCGCAAGUUGACAAAUGGAACAGUAUUUCUUACCUUUAAGAUUUCGCCUUUGCUUUAUAUAUAUACAUAUCCUUUUUGCAAAGCAAACGCUGUCGACGCCUCAUACCCCCCAUUCUCAGUUCAGCUUUGGAAAUGGCAGUAAAGGAAUUCGGUCGCUGUUGUGCGUUUGUGUAGACCUUUGGAAAUGCCCAGAAAGUAGCCCUCGGCCCCUCACAACUUUGAAAAAUGGCUGAAACAUAACCGGGUCAAUGCAUUGUUUUCCUACACAAAAGUCCACAAUUUAAGGUGAUCUUUUCUGAUGCAUACUAUCAAACACU
This 548-nucleotide long non-coding RNA is filed under the name Phoenix dactylifera (date palm). Its description in RNAcentral is "long non-coding RNA (PDAC_LNC021523)". Lineage: Eukaryota; Viridiplantae; Streptophyta; Magnoliopsida; Arecales; Arecaceae. The record is from RNAcentral.